RNAcentral lists this ribosomal RNA (505 nucleotides) under uncultured bacterium. RNAcentral describes it as "partial 16S ribosomal RNA". It matches the Rfam family "Bacterial small subunit ribosomal RNA", at positions 29 to 523 of the family's 1533-position model. The record is from RNAcentral.
AUUGAACGCUGGCGGCAGGCCUAACACAUGCAAGUCGGACGGUAGCACAGAGGAGCUUGCUCCUCGGGUGACGAGUGGCGGACGGGUGAGUAAUGUCUGGGGAUCUGCCCGAUAGAGAGGGAUAACCACUGGAAACGGUGGCUAAUACCGCAUAACGUCGUAAGACCAAAGAGGGGGACCUUCGGGCCUCUCACUAUCGGAUGAACCCAGAUGGGAUUAGCUAGUAGGCGGGGUAACGGCCCACCUAGGCGACGAUCCCUAGCUGGUCUGAGGGGAUGACCAGCCACACUGGAACUGAGACACGGUCAGACUCCUACGGGAGGCAGCAGUGGGGAAUAUUGCACAAUGGGCGCAAGCCUGAUGCAGCCAUGCCGCGUGUAUGAAGAAGGCCUUCGGGUUGUAAAGUACUUUCAGCGGGGAGGAAGGCGAUGUGGUUAAUAACCGCGUCGAUUGACGUUACCCGCAGAAGAAGCACCGGCUAACUCCGUGCCAGCAGCCGCAGUAA